RNAcentral lists this unclassified non-coding RNA (137 nucleotides) under uncultured Lecanorales. RNAcentral describes it as "sequence contains ITS2". Lineage: Eukaryota; Fungi; Ascomycota; Lecanoromycetes. The record is from RNAcentral.
CACCCCUCAAGCUUAGGUUUGAUGUUGGGCACUGCUGUAAGGGCAUGCCUAAAAAUUAGCGAUGGUAACCGAUAACCACAAGCGCACAGAUGUCGCAAUGAUGGAAGUUGGGCACCAGUCUUAACUAAAUUUCUAAA